RNAcentral lists this long non-coding RNA (1054 nucleotides) under Arabidopsis thaliana (thale cress). RNAcentral describes it as "long non-coding RNA (ATHA_LNC000660)". The record is from RNAcentral. Lineage: Eukaryota; Viridiplantae; Streptophyta; Magnoliopsida; Brassicales; Brassicaceae.
UUUCGCUGUGAUCAGCUCCAUCAUUACAACACCGAAGCUGUACACAUCACUCUUCUCUGUAAGUUUCUGUGUUGUGUAGUACUCUGGGUCCAAAUAUCCCUGCCAUUGAAUCAUCAGAAACAAAAGUUCCUAAAAAUUGAAAGCAAUAUGACUCGUUGAUUUAUCUAAAACUUACCAAUGUUCCUUUAACUUGUGUUGAAACAUGGCCUUUGGUGCAGUCUGAAACCAGCUUGGACAAACCAAAAUCAGCAACCUUGGCUGUCAGAUUCUCAUCCAAAAGAAUGUUAGUUGAUUUCACGUCCCUGUGGAUGAUCGGAGGAUCCGCCAGUUCAUGGAGGUAUGCGAGUCCUCUUGCCGAUCCUAGAGCCACUCUCAGCCUUCUUUUCCAAUCCAGCGUAAUUCCGGAUCGCCCUAAAAACAAUACGUAAUGGUCAAGUUUUGUGUUUGUGAUUUAUUGAGCACCUAAAGGCCAGAUUUUUCAGUACCGGUUAAGCUAUCUUUUAGUGAUCCGUUGGACAUGUAUUCGUAGACUAGAAUCUGCUCGCCUUGCUCGAAGCAGAACCCGACAAGCCCAACUAGGUUCUUGUGAUGAACUCGAGAAAGCAACUCAAUCUCUGUUUUGAACUCGAGCCCUCCUUGUGUUGAUCCUUGUUGUGCUCUUUUGAUCGCCACCAUGUGCCCAUCUUGAAGCAUUCCUUUAUACACCUGCGGAGAUUACAGAGAGAAACAGAGGAGCGUUACUUGUCAAACCCUGAAAGUGAAGCCCUAGAUAGUUUCAAGAUCGAUCUUUCAAAAACCCACCUUUCCAUAACCUCCAUAACCCAGCUCACUGCUCACAGAGAAAUUGUUCGUGAUCUUCUUGAGUUCUUCGUAGGAGAACCAUCGUGCCCCUUUCAGCUGCGGUGCGCCACCGCUGUCUUUUCCACUUGAUGCCCAUGAAACUGAGUGAAUCAAAAUAUCAUUGUCAGUCUUCUACUUAACAGUAAAUCUAUCAUGUAAGUUAAUGUAGAGUUUCUUUUUUUUCAGGUGAACCUCAGAGAAUCUAAAAUGGUAG